RNAcentral lists this ribosomal RNA (301 nucleotides) under uncultured bacterium. Its description in RNAcentral is "partial 16S ribosomal RNA". It matches the Rfam family "Bacterial small subunit ribosomal RNA", at positions 509 to 807 of the family's 1533-position model. The record is from RNAcentral.
CAGCAGCCGCGGUAAUACGAAGGGGGCUAGCGUUGCUCGGAAUUACUGGGCGUAAAGGGAGCGUAGGCGGGUCGUUUAGUCAGAGGUGAAAUCCCGGGGCUCAACCUCGGAACUGCCUUUGAUACUGGCGACCUUGAGUAUGGGAGAGGUGAGUGGAACUCCGAGUGUAGAGGUGAAAUUCGUAGAUAUUCGGAAGAACACCAGUGGCGAAAGCGACUCACUGGCCCAUUACUGACGCUGAGGCUCGAAAGCGUGGGGAGCAAACAGGAUUAGAUACCCGCGUAGUCCCUGUCUCUUAUAC